This 492-nucleotide ribosomal RNA is filed under the name uncultured bacterium. RNAcentral describes it as "partial 16S ribosomal RNA". It matches the Rfam family "Bacterial small subunit ribosomal RNA", at positions 29 to 507 of the family's 1533-position model. The record is from RNAcentral.
AGUGAACGCUGGCGGUAGGCCUAACACAUGCAAGUCGAACGGCAGCACAGUAAGAGCUUGCUCUUACGGGUGGCGAGUGGCGGACGGGUGAGGAAUUCAUCGGAAUCUACUUUUUCGUGGGGGAUAACGUAGGGAAACUUACGCUAAUACCGCAUACGACCUACGGGUGAAAGCAGGGGAUCUUCGGACCUUGCGCGAUUGAAUGAGCCGAUGUCGGAUUAGCUAGUUGGCGGGGUAAAGGCCCACCAAGGCGACGAUCCGUAGCUGGUCUGAGAGGACGAUCAGCCACACUGGAACUGAGACACGGUCCAGACUCCUACGGGAGGCAGCAGUGGGGAAUAUUGGACAAUGGGCGCAAGCCUGAUCCAGCCAUACCGCGUGGGUGAAGAAGGCCUUCGGGUUGUAAAGCCCUUUUGUUGGGAAAGAAAAGCAGCAGGUUAAUACCCCGCUGUUCUGACGGUACCCAAAGAAUAAGCACCGGCUAACUUCGUG